AGGGCAGGGGAGCCAACAGGAUAAGAACUUAAGGAUAAGGGACCCGGAGCGCCAGGAGGCGAAGGUCAGGAAACUGUCAGGAUGGCAGUCUGAAAAGGAAAAGGAUCCUACAGGGAACGUUGAAUGCUAAGGGAUAAAACAGGGUUCGUUACCAGCAAACACGGAAUGUGAUGCCCAUUGAGGGUUGAGGGUCAGAAAAAAAGGCGACAGUUUACACUGUCGCCUUUUUUCUUUGCUUGCUU
Molecule: small RNA, 242 nt
Filed under: Phytobacter massiliensis
Lineage: Bacteria; Pseudomonadati; Pseudomonadota; Gammaproteobacteria; Enterobacterales; Enterobacteriaceae
Source: RNAcentral